CGAAAAACUCCGCCGGACCGACUACGGGGAAAACCGUACUCCGGAUCGAAAAAGUCAAAACACGAAAAAUGUCCGGAAUAUUCAAAUUAGGCUAAAGGUCAGUUUUGUUGAAACUUCCGGGAAGAAAAUUUGCUACACCGUUACGAGUGGACUGUUUUACGGAAGCGGUUUUCGAAUAAUCAAAUAAUUAAUAAAUAAAUAUAAAUAUACGCAAUUUAAAUCCGUAAAUCGAUUAUAAAAUCAUAUAACAUCACAUAAAUCGAUAUGAAAAUACCCAAAUAAACUAUAUUUCAUUCUGAGCAUAUAGAAAUUGAAAUCUCUCAAAUACGAACACAUAUGAGCAGUCAACCCAAUAAACCAGAUAAUACAGAAUUCACAAAAAUUCAUAUAUUAAUCAUAUAAUAUUAAUAAUUAAUCAUAACUAAUUAACAAACAAAUUCACCAAUACCACUUAAUCACAUAACACACAUAUAUUCACACAAUAUUCAUACAGAAUUUUCAAAACAAUAUAUGAAAAUCAGUUUUGAAAAUACAAUUAUUUAUCAAUAACACAAUAACCCGGGGGUUUAAAUAUAAAACCUUGUAAACUCAUUAAACUGGAAUAAAAUAUUAAAUCUUAUUCCUUUCUUUUUAAGAAAAUCAUUUAUAAUAUUAAUAAAAAUAUUUUUAAAAUCCGGGUUAUUACAAUCUACCCUCCUUAUAGGGAUUCCGUCCUCGGAAUCAGAGAAAGAAGGAGGACGCAAUAUUUGUAAAAUCCAUAUUAAUCCACAAAACAAGUAUAAUCAUAUAAAACUAUUCACAUAAUCAAUUCACUUUUCAACUAAAGCCAACAAUAAUAUUUAGACAGAUAGAUUUAUAACAAUCAAAUCUAAAUUUAAAAAUAUGGGAUAUUACAUUCUACCCCCCUUAUAAGGAUUCCGUCCUCGGAAUCCUCCGAAGAAACUAAAACGUAUCAUUUAUAAGAUCGUGGUACACGCUUCAUAAUAUCACAUGCUCAUCCGCCUUUGAUCAACUUUGGCAUACCUUCAAAGUUAAAGAAAUAGGAAAAUCAACACCUUCACAAUUGCAAACUUCAUUUCCCAAGAAUCAAUCUUUGGGAAUUUCGGAGGAACAAGAUGUUUUCAAAAUAGGUCACAUUGGAAUACAAGAGUGACUGGGAGAUCAAUACGAUCAAAUGAACUUAAUGUUGCGUGUCCAUAUUAGACACUACUAAAGGUUGUUAACCUUCUUGUAAUCACAACACACACAAGUGAUGGCGUCCCAUCCAACUCCUAUCACACAGACAGGUAUACCUUGUGUCCCCUAUAAAUAGGGUUGUUCAUCCCAAUCAGAUGGAAAGAAUCCAAGAAAUCUCAAGUAGCAUCAAGGAAUGUUAAGGAUUAUCGAGGAAUAUAUUAAGGAAUAUCGAAAAGUUAUCAAGGAAUAUCAAAGAAUGUCAAAGAAUAUCAACGAAUAUUAAGGGAUAUCAAAGAAUAUGAAAGAAUAUCAAGGGAUAUCAAAUAAUAUCAAGGAAUUCCACUGUCUCUUCAUAAACACGCCUUUAUCAUACACUGAUUCAAUACCAACUCACACCAAUAAUCAAUAUCAUUAUCAUCUUAGAAUGUGAGAAAUUGAAGAUCUCAUUUAUCAAAACUUUUGUAGAAAAGAUAUCAUGAUAAUAUCUCGCUGAUGAGAAAAACAAUGCAAAAGAAUCUUUAAUUGAAGAGAGGUAUUGCCAAGGUCUUCUCACAUUCCCGCUCUGCUUCAGUAAAUCAUUGUUCGAUAUAUGUCUUCUUUUCAACGUUCUCGAUAAUCGAUCGAUGUUGACUCGUAAUAGCCUCGUAAGAUGUCAUCGUAGACGUUAUCGUCCGUAAUAACUCUGGCCCAUGUAGUUUACAUUCUUCUACUUUAUCCCAGUUGCCUUUGAAAUCCAUAGCACAAACACGUAACGUAUCUUCGAUUGUCUGGAUCAUCAACCUGUGGGUUAUGGGCCCACCUUGAUGCCAUUUGAAAUCCCGAUUAGCUCGAAGCGUUGUCGUCGAGGACUAACGUUCUAACUUACUCGUAGACAUCAUCUCUAAUAACUGGACUCAAUUCCACGUACUCUCUAUCAUUCACUUCUCACCUAUCAACCUCUAUCUACCAAUCUCUCCUUCUAAUCCAAUACAACUCAUACUCUACACUUACUCUUCAUAUCUUCACUCAAAACAAUAUACAUCUUCCAAAUAUCUGACAUGGUCAACAUACUAUGAACCAUGCAUUUAUAUCAUCCUCAAAUCAAUACAAUAAUCCAAUUUCAAAUAUGCAGUAUAGUCAGAAUACUCUGAACUCUGCAUUUUCACCAUUCUCAACUCAAUCAUUCACUAUCAAACUCUUCUAUAUAGGUCUAAUACUGACCUUUCCCACAAUUCACCAUCUCAAUUAAUCAACAUACUAGAAAUCAUAUGUCUAAACUUAAGAAUCCUAAUCUCUUUAGAUAUCCACACUUAACUUGAUCAUCUAACUAAACUCUAUGCUUCACUCACAUCUCUAGACUAUUCCUAAAUAGUCCGACCAUACCUCUAUGUGAGGUUACACCACAUUCUUCUCUAGAAAACCUAUAACUAUGAUCUAUAUUCUAAUUUCAAAUACUUAUAACCUGUUGCUCUGAUACCAACUGUGACAGUCCAGGAAUCCGGGGGUCUGGAUUCUGACGUCACCACACAAAACCCUUUUAAAACACUUUUGAAACCCUGUAUUUUUUUUUCUAAAGAUAAUAAAAUCAGAGAAUUUAAAACCUGAAAACAUUUAAUAAAAGAUUUGAAUGAGAACAUAAAUCGAAUGAUUUCAAAACCUGAAUUUCAAACUUGAAAGCCAUAAUAGGAGAAUUUCAAGAGAACAUUUAAACUUUAAUAAAUGAUUCGAAAGAGAACAUUUAAACCCCCUAAAAGCAACAGGAUCGCAUCCAGGUUACAGUAUUGAAAUUAGAAUCUACCACUAUUAUUACACAACAUCUCUUACCAAAUCAGAUCAUCUUCGAUAAGAAGAAUCACUGUCAACUAUUCCAGCUUGCACCAACCUCAUCAACUUUCCUGAACACUCCUCGACCACUGGAUCCUCAACUCUGUCUCCUCGCCUAGCAUUAGCCUUACUCACAAUCUCAAUCAAUCAUCUCAUCUUUAAGCCUUUCUGAAAUGGUUAGAAAGGAAUAGCAAGGGUGAGCAACAAUGCUCAGCAAGUAAUAAUAAACAAUGAUAGUUCUGAAAUGAUAUAACAGAAGUUCACGAGUUCAAGAUAUAAGAGGAUUCAACCUGAGUUCAUGAGUUCAUGGUAUUGUAUAGAAUGAUUUACAAUACCUUGCAGCAUUUAAACUGAGAAAUUCAAUCUUUCCAAAGAAUUAUUGAAUUGGACUAUCACAUUUUAAUUAAAACCAAGGUUAGGCAGCUGAUCAGUUCCGCACUAACCCCGAGCAGGCCCCGCCAUGCUCUAUCACUGGAUCCAAGGCACUCAUUGGCCUAACAUGACCACGAAUCUGGUCCACAGGUUUAUAUAAAAACAAUAAUCCAAUUCUCUAAUUCAAUUCAAGAAGCCAAUGUAAAUUAACAGAACAUCAUCAUAAAUAUCAUCAACAACAGAAUAAUUCCAAUUCAAACUUUGAUAAUAAUCUAUUCAUAAAUCAUGAUCCAUCAUUUCAUAAAUCACAGUUCAGGAAAUCCUCAACUAUUCAGUAUCCUCCAUUAUCGGCUAAGCAACUGAAUUUAGCCUGCUAAACCAGCAUGACAAUGGCGGGUUGAAUAAUCAAGAAGAUCCCAAUUCAUUCAAAGCUCUAACUAUCACUGAGCAACACAUGCUUCAAUGACAAUCUGAACUUCGAAUUAAUUUGUAAAACGGAAAUUCUUUAGAAACUUGAAGAUUAGAAAGAAUGGGUCAGAAUACUCGCACUUUCGAACAUUGAAAAGAAAGGUAUGAAUACUUGAAACAUAUACCAAAGGAAUGGAUCAGAAUAUUUGCAAUAUAUCCAAGAGAAGGGUUUAGGAUACUUGCCUUAAAUCUGACUCCAGUUUCACAGCUCAAUCUCAUCUUUCAACUUUCACAAUCUAUGCAUCUCGUAAUCUCUAGACCAUCUCUAGCUAUACUCUAUUCGCCACAUCGCUUCGCUUACUCGAUUCAUCCCUUAUUCGCUUUGCAAUACCAUUCCGACUUUCUGACGUCUUCGAGCGUACACGUCUCGUCCAAAUCCUUUACGAGAAUAAGAUAAUACUAUAGUCACUAAACAAUAUAUCGCAUAUACAUAUCACGUAUAUCGAUACCCACUUAUAUAUCCCUUUAAACUUAUCAGAUACCACGUAACACAUAAGCAUGCUUUGACUCUAACAUAUAGUCAAUCAUAUUCCACAUAACAUAUCACCAAUCAAUUAUCAUAUAAAUCCUUAUCGAAAAUCCGACAUCGUCUCGUCUAUGUAUAAGACUAUCCACCUGUUAUCCUAUCUCAAUCAUUAAUCAACCAACAAAAUCCAAUAACUAUAAUCCAUAUAUUCUUAUCCAAUAUCAAUCAUACGAAUCAUUUAUCACUUCACAAUAUCAAAACUAACACGUACUUCACAUAAUCAUCACUUGAUAGCACUUAGAUCACAUAUUAUCACAUUAUGCAUACUUAUCAACAAUUAUUCACCUUAUAGACUCAGCCAUAUAGUCACAUCAUAUUAAAAUAGACGUUAUAAGCUUCUGUCUCUCUUUCGUUUCACUUGAUUCCGACUUACGGAUCAAAAGUUAUGCUCAAAACAGUUUUCUCACUCUCCUAUCGGCACAUAACACAUCCAACCAAUAGCAGACAACACACAACACAUAAGGUUUCCCAUCCCAAUUGAUAUUAAAUCAAGUCUUGGGUUAAAAAUGAUUUUUCGGGAAUUUUCUGGAAUUUUUAAACAUUUUUCGGAAUUAAAAUCGAUAAAAGAAUCACUUUUCGGAUAAAUAAUCAAGUCCCAAAUACUUGAAAUUGGACUUGAAAUCAUUCAUAAACAAUUAUCGAGCCUUGAAAAUAAUUUAGAAAAAUAUUUUAAAGCUCGAAACUAUUUUUCGGAAUUUUUAAAUCAAAAAGGAUAAUUAAAUCCAAUUAAUUAAUCAAUUAAAUCAAUUAAUAAUUAAUUAAAAUAAUUAAUCAAUUAAUAUUUAAAUUAAUUGACUAAUUAAAAUAAUUAAUUACUAAUUAAAAUUAAUUAACAAACUAAUUUAGAUUUAUUUUUGAAUAAAGAAAUAAUUAAAAACUAUUUUUGGAAUUUAAAAUAAUUAAAUAAAACAAUUUUAGGAAAUUACAUCAAAAAGGUUUAUUUUGUAAACUUUUGAAAAUUUUCAACCAGGGUUUAAACUGUAACUUUAGAAAGUUACAGGGGGUGAUAUGUAACUUUUAAAACUUGGGUAUGAGAACUGUAUCAUUUUCGAAAGUAGGAGGGCCAAACUGCACUUUUGCAGCGGCACCUCCCCCCCGUCGCCGUUAAUCGCCGGAAUCGGCGUUUCCGAGCUCCUUUCCCCACCAGAAACUGCAGAUAGGAUCUUUGAGCAUCCAAAAACUUAACCACGCCAUCAGAUUAAUCAGAAGCGGCCCUAUUUGGCCGGAAAAUUCAUAUAAAAGCUCGCCGCCGGCGAGUUUCUUUUGAAACUCCGGCGAGCCCUUUCUUGACAUCCCACAUAACCUUCGAACACACACGCACGUUCCUCCCAUCACACUCUAUCUGUUUGUCAACUCAAAACUCACCCAGAAUUAGCCAAUUACAAAACCCCAAUCUUCAAUUGAAAAUAUUCAAACUAACCUCAAGAACACUCCUCAAGAAUUAAACAUGAAUUUCUAUAUGUUAUCGAACUCGAAAAUCAACAUAUAAUAUACCAAAACGACGAGAAAAACAUGCUCUACAUCAUAGAAUCAUCAAAACAAUCAAACAAACACGUUUGCAAAAAUUCACUAUUUAAAUCAUAAUAAUUCGAAUUUUAAAACUUCAAUUACUCCCUACCUGUGAAUCUCAUGUUGUUUUUGAUGAUUGAUUUGGGUUCUACUCUUCGAUAUCUUCGAUUUGACUAUUUGCACGCUUGAUUCUGACUCCAAUAACACCUUCAAAUCUUCGUUUGAUUAUGAAGAACACGAAGAACACCGCUCGGUUUCUCUCGGUAUUCGUGCAAAGAAACUGGUGAAAUGAUUUUACGGGUGAAAAUAAGCUCUAGAAAGGUCUAUUUAUAUUUACAAAUAAUUGGUACCCCUUUGGAUCGUUUAUGACAUGAAAAUACGUAUUUAAUAGCUUUAUAUUAAUAAAGCGGGGUCCAAUCGGUACUGGUUUUCGAGAUAAUCAUCAAAACGGGGCUUUUUAACUCAAUUAUUGGUCUGCGGGUCCCAUUGCAAUUAUUACAAGAUAAGGAUGAAUAUAAUAAUCAAAAUAUCUCGUUUCACGUUUAUCGAGACAAACUGGAUAAUUAUCAACAAUUAAAAUACCCGAAAAACUCCGCCGGACCGACUCCGGGGAAAACCGUACUCCGGAUCGAAAAAGUCAAAACACGAAAAAUGUCCGGAAUAUUCAAAUUAGGCUAAAGGUGAGUUUUGUUGAAACUUCCGGGAAGAAAAUUUGCUACCUCGUUACGAGUGGACGGUUUUACGGAAGUCAAAUAAUUAAUCAAUAAAUAUAAAUAUACGCCAUUAAAUCCGUAAAUCGAUUAUAAAAUCAUCUAACAUUCCAUAAAUCGAUAUGAAAAUAUCCAAAUAAACUAUAUUUUCUCCUGAGCAUAUAGAAAUUGAAAUCUCUCAAAUACUAACACAUAUGAGCAUUCAGCUCAAUAAACUAGAUAAUACAAAGUUCACAAAAUUAUAUAAUAAUCAUAUAAUAUUAAUAAUUAAUCAUAACUAAUUAACAAACAAAUUCACCAAUACCACUUAAUCACAUAACACACAUAUAUUCACACAAUAUUCAUACAGAAUUUUCAAAACAAUAUAUGAAAAUCAGUUUUGAAAAUACAAUUAUUUAUCAAUAACACAAUAACCCGGGGUUUAAAUAUAAAACCUUGUAAACUCAUUAAACUGGAAUAAAAUAUUAAAUCUUAUUCCUUUCUUUUUAAGAAAAUCAUUUAUAAUAUUAAUAAAAAUAUUUUUAAAAUCCGGGUUAUUACAAUCUACCCUCCUUAUAGGGAUUCCGUCCUCGGAAUCAGAGAAAGAAGGAGGACGCAUAAUCAGUAUAAUCCAUAUUAAUCCAUUGAACAAGUAUCAUAACAUAAAACUAUUCACAUAGUCAAUUCACUUUUCAACUAAAGCCAACAAUAAUAUUUAGACAAAUAGAUUUAUAAUAAUCAAAUCUAAAUUUAAUAAUAUGGGAUAUUACA
Molecule: long non-coding RNA, 7314 nt
Filed under: Daucus carota (carrot)
Lineage: Eukaryota; Viridiplantae; Streptophyta; Magnoliopsida; Apiales; Apiaceae
Description: long non-coding RNA (DCAR_LNC002491)
Source: RNAcentral